This 70-nucleotide transfer RNA is filed under the name Marmota monax (woodchuck). RNAcentral's name for it is "tRNA.Ala". Lineage: Eukaryota; Metazoa; Chordata; Mammalia; Rodentia; Sciuridae. The record is from RNAcentral.
GGUGGUAGCUCAGUGGUAGAACAGUUGCCUAGCAUGUAUGAAGCUCUGGGUUUGAUCCCCAAUACCACCA